CAUUAGGUGGCUGAAAGCAAGCAAUGGAAUUUUAAACCAUUAAAUAGUGUAAUAGCAAAUACUUCUAAUG
Molecule: transfer RNA, 70 nt
Filed under: Rhipidocerus australasiae
Lineage: Eukaryota; Metazoa; Arthropoda; Insecta; Coleoptera; Cerambycidae
Description: tRNA-Lys
Source: RNAcentral